GAAGCCGUUUUCCUGCGAUGAAAACGUAUUCUUAGAAAGACGAGUUCUGUUUAAACUUCCAGGAACCUGUUUGUAGAAAUAUUUUUACAGAUUAGUCCUUGAGCUUUAAACGUCCGUAUCUUUUCAACCGUAGCUCCAAAUCGGGUGAUUCCAAAGCCCACGUCUUCGUUUCGUCGAGCCCGUUCUGAUGGAUUCAUUUUCACCAUGUUUGCACAUUCUAAAAAUGACCAUUUUGCCCUUGCCGUAAACAGCCCCUCCCCCCGAGAGAGAACUAUUCCCGACAAAUCUUCUCGCGAUCGUUUCACACUUCUUCCCGGAGUAUUUGUCGACCCCCAGGCAAGCCAACCUCUUAUCAUGAGCUCCGAACUUGCAUGUUGACUUUGCUUGCACCUUGUGUGUGUGUAGUUGCAGUUGUUUACUAUCGUUUUUGUUUGUAGUCAUUUCAUUAUGCCUAUCAUGCAUGCGUGUGUUUUCAUGAUAUCUUUUGCCAUGCUAAUUAAAAUAUUGUUAUUUAUAAUGCCAUGUCACUACUCUACUUCAUUCUCAUGACAUCGUUAUAAAAUGCUAUGAUGACUGUAAUCCACCGUGGAUAUGUUAGUACUUGGUGUUGUCAUGUUCUUUAUGUUGUAGUGGUUCACUUGAGAAGCUCGAUAUUUUAUUAAAGCAUUUGUAUGAUGUAUGCUCAUUGUUGCAUUCAUGUUCAUGAUGAUGGAGAAGGAAAUAAAAUGACUUAAUGAUAACAAAACUCCUCCGUCAUUGAUGGGAUUGAGUAAUAGUGCCACCAAAUCGAACUUUUCCAGUGCAGCCACAUUUGCCUUUAUGGGAAGGCCUUAAUACGAUCUAUUGUCGUGCCUCUCAUUGGUGCCUCCAACGAGGGAAGGUUAUGGGCGCACGCUACCCUGAUCAGGCAGGCAGACAUAAGCCUUGUGUGCCCGAUGUUGUUGUUAUGGUACCGGGUCCCCAUGUGGGAUCGUUUAUGUUUUUGCCACGACGGUGGUCGUUGUGUCUUUGGUAGUCACGGGGCCACCCAGGACUAGCCCAGUGGGGAGUCAGUCGGAGUGGCCGGGAGAGUGUCAUGACCAUAGGUCGGUUUCAUCGAUAUGCCGUUGGUCCACACGAAUGGGUUGACGAGGCCAUCGGUUCCGUGGUGUGGGUACAGUGCGCUACCUCUGCAGAGUGUUUAUAAAGUCUAUCGAUAGCAACACAGUUCGUAGUAGGUCACACUAUUGGGUCUUGGUCGGAAUGGAGGAUAAACCUGAAAUAAUUAAGCUGAGUAAUGUGGUAACAAGAAUGUGGUGACUUGGACUAUGAGAUAGUCGUGAGAAGUCACGGAAAUGCUUGGAUAUGAUCAUGAGCCCAGGUCUCGGUGAGUGUUGGAGCCCAAGUGUUGGUCAUGAUUGUGAUCGCCGGAAGGAUCACCGUUUAAGGCCAAAUAUUGGUCGUGGUUGUGAUCACCGGAAAGAUCACGAGAUAUCUCUAGUUAAGACCUUGAGGUUGGUACAUUUGUGAUCCAUGAGUGAUCACCGUUCGGUUGCGAGGCAAUCCGUUGGUAAGAGAGUCCGAGGGACUCGGUGCACAAGUUUGGUUGCAUUGCAUGAGUAGUAAGUUUUUAUUUGCAUUUAAAGAACCAUGGGAGAACAUGAGAUGGUUGCAUGAUGGUAGCAUGUUAUGUCUGCAUUGGAUAUGAUUGAUAGCUUAUUUUCAGCAUAGUUUCAGGAUGCCAUGCUAUGUUUGGAUUGAGUAUAUGCCAUGUUUUGAUUGAACUCGUGCCAUGCUUAGAUUAUGUCAUGAUCAAGAUGCUAUGCUAUGCCAGGUUUUGCCGUUGCCAUGUUAGAAGUAAAUUUGAUAUGCCAUGUUAUUUCCAUGUUAGUAGAUGCUAUGAUGUUGUUCAUGCUCAGUUGAUCUAUAUCAUGCCAUGUUUAGUAAUUGAUAUGAGAUAGGUUGAUGCAUACGCUUGGUUCCUGCUUUGUCUUCUGUUUGUUUGGAUGCUAUGUAUUUGGUUGUCUUGCAAGUACAUUCAAUAUACUGACCUGGCGUGUCAUGCCAGUUUUGUAGGUCGUGCUCGAAAUUUCGUUGUUUCGUCAUGCUAGGCCGUAAUCUUGUCAGUCCUGUGAGUUGUGGAGCCCAGCCAGAGUGAUAUGCUGCCAAGACUUCCGCCGCCAUUUAAAUAGACUUUUGCUGUCAUGUAAAUAGCCUUAGGGCUAUGCUAGAAGAUUAUAUUCAUCACUGAUGUAAUCAUAUACACAUGUAUUUGAUGAAUAUUCUUGUACCUGGAAUGUUGUAUCAUGGACCUGUCGUGCGUCACGUGUUAUCCUGGGCUGACGUGCGAAGGCCCCCUGUUCCAUGCGGAUCGGGGUGCCACAGGGCUUGGUACCAGAGCAGCCAGGCUGGCGUAGAUUAUCCGAGCAUUAGAUCACCGCUACCAUCAACCCAUAAUGAACCUAAGGGAUUUGACCCAUCCCUAGCAUCCGGCAUGGCCACUGUUAAUCAACAGGUGGCGCAGUUGGGACCGACACGACCUCACCCUGCUGUCCCCGCCUAGUUAUCCGUGGAACAUGCAGCAAUCCUAUCCUUUCUGGUCGGCCGCACCACUUUCCCUUCACCAGUAAGGGAAAGGGGCCACACCAUGCGGGCCUGUCCCGCGUAGCUGCCUAUGAAACCCCCUUUCCGCUAGCCGUUUCGCUCGCUCCUCAAUCCGCCAUGUCCCUGCAGAGAAGCUUAGCUAGUAACUCCCCAGUCAUGACUAGCAGCUCCAAAACUUCCACAUAUUACACCCGCACCUAUGCCGUCGACCACCCUGGCUUUCCACCCCUUCUUGCCGAGAUGCUCACCAAAGCCUUUGGCGGUAAGACUAGUCCCGAUUACCUGGUGUUCCAAUCGGCACCCGUCCCUCACCUUCAUCGCUUUGUUGCAAGAGUGCACAUCAGCCUAGGUCCUGCAGCAGAUGUCCAACCUUUGGUUUUAUAGGGUAGAGCCAUGCCUACCUCUGAUUUAGCCAUUCAAGCCGCUGCUGUGGAGGCUAUCCUACACCUCUGAACCAAGUUCCCGCAUGUUGCAACAAGGCGGGAGUUCUGCUUUUCCCCACUGUGGCAAAAGCAGUAAUGCAGCCUUCUCCCGUUAGCCAAGGAGAUGAUCCCGCAAUCGCUCGCCUGGUGCAAUACAUCACUGCCCAGGGGAUGUUGAUUUCAAAGAUGCUUGCCGAGUUUAGAACCAUGGACAAUAAUGUGGUACGAUUCGUCACGUAAGCUUACCGUGAGGCUCGUAAGUUCGCAUCUCAAGCUGUUUGCCCAACGCCAUCCGAACCAGUGCUAUCCUCUCAACCUGUGCUGUGGCCCAAGCCAAACAUCAUCACCCUUGACAAGGCUCUUCUCCAGAUCCACCAGCAUCAUUUUCCUGGAUCAAUUUCAGCCCCACCGCCCCAACCCAUAGAAGUGUCAGACGAUGAAGAUGGAGAUUGGCUUAGUCUUUGUCCUCCUGGUGAGCCCCAGCAAGGCCAGUCUUCUGUAUGACCUCAGUCACGUAGUCAGUGGUUCCUGCUAGUCGAUCGGUCUGUCGGUUCGUCCCCGAUAUGAGGACAGAACCAUGUAUUCCCGGAGUGAGUAGUUUCGAUUAGCGCGUAGCGCAUUUGUGCUUUGAUGUAUGUUGGUACUGUUGUAACCCGUAUGUUGUGUUAUUUGCUUGCUUGAUUUUGUUUGUGUGUUUGUUUUUGCUUGUCUCUCUGUCAAACAGAAAUGUUUGACAGGGUUGACAAUGUGUGCUAACAAGAUUCUAAUCAGUAUGACACAUACACUAAAAACAACAUUGACUCGUUCCGAGUCUCUAAUAAAAUGCGCGCUGGUGUAGGUAUAUGUAUACCAGGAUUACAUAUACCCACUAGCAUUAAAACACCUUAGUGUGAUUUGUCUGGUGUGUUUUUCCGUUGCAUGUUUUUGCAUCUAUCUGUUUGUUUAUAUUUUACUGCAUACUGCACGCAUACCCGGUUCACCCACGAGUACAGUUGAGCAGUACUCGGGGAAUGCAAAGUCACAUAUCCCCCUCUAUCUGUGCAUACCCCGUGUGACAGGUUUUCCAAACCCAGAACCUCAAAGAGGCCAUUGUCAUCUGGCCAUUUCUCCUCCCUUAUUCUUUUUCAUGAGCCCAAUUGUGUUUCCAGAGGAACACUGCCAGCUUUAUUUUUCGCGAUCCAUUACAACUCCCCGAUACAGAUUUCAACUCCGAUUCUACCUCGACACCUACAUUUCAUAGAGCAAUCCACGAAAUCUUUCCCGUGCCCUAGUUUAACUCCUAAGCUGGCGUAGUCACCGCACCUGCAUCCGAACCCUUCCCCACCACCAUCACUGCCUUGCGUGGCGCCGCAAGUCACCACCACCGCAGCACGCGAUUACUCCGCCGGCGCGAGGCGACGGAGAACCAAGCGUAGCGCAGGACCACCUCAUGCACCAUCUUCUUCCGCACCUCGAGCCACAACACCCCGCUACGCAUUGUCUCGAGCCCGCUCGUUCCUGAUGAGUAUCACUAGGAGGAUCGCCGAGCUGAUCAGCAUGCCCAGCAGUGCCGCGAAGAACAACCGUAGCGCCACCAAGAACACCUCCUCGCCGCAGGAUCUCGACUCAAUCUCGCCCAAACUGAAGAGGUAGUAGAGUGGCAUUGUGUUUGUGUGUUGGAAGCGAGCCGCGCUACCGUUUUUAUAGCCCAACCCUGGUGAACGGUGAGCUGAGUCCAGGAAAAUCGCUCGUCGCCCGAUCACCGGCGUCCAGGAGGCGAAUCCGCAAGCAGUGCCGACAAGGUGCUGGCCCACGACGUGAGUGCUCGCUGCACCGGCGUCGUGCACGUCGCGCACUACGUCUCUAGGGCCCUCAUCGCCCUAGGAGCUAGAUGCGCGCUGCACCAAGCCGCACGUGAAGUAGCAGCACAGGAGAAGCAGCUAGCCGGAGGUAGAAGAAGGAGGCUGCCAGUGGGCCCAGGACCCACGUGUCAGCAGGUGAAUCCACUGUUCACUGGGGUGCAUCUAGCAUUUUUUUGAGAGUUUGAUCUUGAAUGCCCCUAGCCGUGGAUAUAAUCAUAUUUGCCCAUAUCUCUCCUUGGGUGUACCAAUUAUCGGUGCCCCAACUCGUUCAAAUUCAACCAAAGGGUUAAAAUUAACCCAGAGAUUUUUUCCCCGGAGUGGUUAUGUUUUCUUUGUGCUGUAACCCUAGGAAUCUCGGGGACGAGAUUCUUUUUAAGGUGGGAAGGUUUGUAACAACCACAAAAUUGGGUUAUCAAUUUUUGUGUUGUUAUUCCUUCCUGGCACUCCUUUUCAAAAUCUUUCUCCUGAGUUUUGUUGGAUGACUCUGAGGCUUCUUGUCAUUUGCAACCUUUCAAAACUUGUUCAUGUCUUUUUUAGUGGGCAAGACCUCGGUUGCAGCAUCUUAAACCCUCUCAAACCCUAAUUCCAAAAAAAUUGGAAUUUGAAUGUGGCCUUUUUGAUUACAAAGCAGCCAUCAUUUUCCUUGAUCUGUUGCUCACCCCAUCUGUUCCUUGAGACCCCCUAUCCUUUUCAACCUUGGAUAUGCAAAAAUAUUGCCAAGUCCCAUGCAAUAUUUUUGAAUUAUGAUUUAUUCCUUUACUUGCCUUUCUGAGGAAUAAAAUCCAAAGGCAUAGCUAGCCAUCUCCUAAAUUCAUGUGAAUUGGUAGAGUUGAUAAUUAUGCCUAAUCCAAGCUCUGGCAAUUAUAUUGGCCAUAAUUAAAUAAGGAAAAUUGACUUUUCUUAUUUAAUGCCAAUAUUCCAAUUCUGCCAUUUUCUAAAGGAACUACUAUUUUUAUAGCAGAUAAAAUUCCCACAUAAAUUGUGGAGCUUGUCCUUGCUAUAUAAUCACUAGUUUCAUCUUUAUCUCAUGUUCCAUAGAUAAAAAUUGGGCACAUGAUCCAAUGCAAGAUUAUGCCCUCUCUGGAAUUUUGCAAAGGAAGUGCUUUAUUCCUAAUUCCUUAUGAGCUGAAAUUUGGUAGGGUGAUGAAUAUUGAUAAAUAACCCAUGGACACCAAAGAUGAACUCAAUCCAAUCAUCUUAGCUCCUAGUGCAAUUUUUCAAAGUUUCUGACCAGAUUGUCACUUUGUGAAGGAAGUACCUUCAUAGUGUUCUCAAAUGGGAUGCAACUUUGCCAUCUUCUCAUGUGUCCCAAAUCAUUAGCCUCCACCCAAAUUCAGCUCAUUUCAUUGAGCUAUGUGAGCACAGGAGCAAUUCUGGUUUUCUGUCCAAAAUUUCAGUUUGUGAAGCAAGUAUAUUUUAUCUUGCUCCAUUAUGUCUGAAAAUAGUACCAAGCCUUCUACUAUCCCUAUAACCCACCUACCCAAGAGUUUGGCUAAUUUCAUUUGGCCAAUAUUUUCCUAGAAUUUUCCCAAGUUUCUGGUCAAAAGUGAUGCUUGUGAAGCAAGCACCAAUUUGGCAAGUCCAUUUGGUCUGAUCUUUUUACAGCAUCUACUUAUGACAAAAUCAUGAGGAUUUGCAAAGUUAUAGCUCAAUCCAACACUCUGAGUGUCUGCUUGUUCAUCAUCUAGUUUCUGGACCAGAAUUGGUAAUUGCACCGCAACUAUAUUAAAUCUAUGUCCUAAUGAUCUCAUAAUUACCAGGACCAUAGUCCUUGCUACCCUAAGCCUGCCAGACAUCAAUUUUACCAUUUAACCUCUCUGGUUUUACCUCUAGGAUGUUGCCAAGUUUGCAGCAGCAAACUAGUGGAGCUUGGUUUACUCAGCUCCAUUUGUCUGUGCCCAAAUCUUUAUGUGGUAAUACUCCACUUUGGAAGGACUACACGGUAGACAUGAGCUGGCAUCAGUAAAAACUCCAGAGCAUGCCAUGUCCGUGGUGAUCACGAGGGCAGCCAGCCAAAACGAUGGUCUAGCCACUGUUGGCCUCGGCAUCAUUGCUCCAGCUGGAUUUGGCUCGUCCCCGCAUGUCCAGUAGCUCCGCCUCGUUGUUGUUGUUCGCCUGGACCCCGCCCCCCCCUCCAUUUUCUUCUCCGGCGAGCCGUGCCAAAGGUCGAAUAGUGAGCGCCCGUGUGCACCAUCGCCUUCCUCCUCUGUCUUCUUCCUCCCUGAGCCUCGUUGGUGUUUCGUUGCUCCGUGAGCCUCUGCUGCUCGGCUGCAUCCUCCUCUUUGCCUUCCCGCCGCUUCUCGUGCGCCCUCGUGACUGCUGCGGCCGGCAGAGCCUCAGCCGGAUGCGCUCGGCGGUGCCUGGCUUGGGUGCCCCUGUCUCGGCUAUUUAUAGCCAGCCCGAGCCCUCCUCGAGCAAGCCAGCCCCUCCCCUCUCCCUCUGGAGCCCUCUCAUACCCGUGCCCGGCCGAAUCCCUCGCUGGAGCCCGGCAAUUUAGCCGGAGUUCGUCCACGGCCUCCGCGCCAAACCCCUCCCUCCAGCCGUCCCCUGCCCCAUCCGAGGCCAUGGAUGGACGCGCCACUCUCCGACGACCGUCCCUAGCCUGUUGCCCCCCUCAUUCCCCCACCGGAGUCACCCCAAUCACCGAGCCCCGCCGUCCUCUAUCUCCUCCGUCGCCGCAUCUCCAAGCCCUACCCGCCAUCGUUCUACCCUUAGGUGGGCGCGGUGCACGCCGGCGACCCCUUCCCCGUUGCUCCCUGGUCGGAUAGCUCAUUGGAGCGACGAGGCUACGCCGGUGCCGACGCCCUUGCUUCUGUGUCGGGAAGCAGGGGAGAAGAAGGAGGAAUGAGGCGUUGACCUGGCCAGGCAGGCCAGGUGGGACCCGCGCUUUUGCCCCGACCCCACCUGGCAGCGACCCUGGCACCCGGCCCCGCCUCUGCCACUUUGACUGGUCCAAUGCCAUGUCAGAUAAGUGGCGGUGCCCACCGCAAAGCCGUUUUCCUGCGAUGAAAAUGUAUUCUUAGAAAGACGCGUUCUGUUUAAACUACCAGGGACCUGUUUGUAGAAAUAUUUUUAUAGAUUAGUCCCUAAGCUUUAAAUGUCCGUAUCUUUUCAAACGUAGCUCCAAAUCAGGUGAUUCCAAAGCCCAUGUCUUCGUUUUGUCGAGCCCUUUCUGAUGGAAUCAUUUUCACCAUGUUUGCACAUUCUAAAAAUGACCAUUUUGCCCUUGCCGUAAUCAGCCCCCCGAGAGAGAACUGUUCCCGGCAAAUCUUCCCGCGAUCGUUUCACACUUCUUCCCGGAGUAUUUGUCAACCCCCAGGCAAUCCAACCUCUUAUCAUGAGCCCCGAACUUGCAUGUUGACUUUGAUUGCAGCUUGUGUGUGUGUAGUUACAGUUGUUUACUAUCGUUUUCGUUUGCAGUCAUUUCAUUAUGCCUAUCAUGCAUGCUUGUGUUUUCAUGAUAUCUUUUGCCAUGCUAAUUAAAAUAUUGUUAUUGAUAAUGCCAUGUCACUACUCUACUUCAUUUUCAUGACAUCGUUAUAAAAUGCUAUGAUGAUUGUAAUCCACCGUGGAUAUGUUAGUACUUGGUAUUGUCAUGUUCUUUAUGUUGUAGUGGUUCACUUGAGAAGCUCAAUAUUUUAUUAAAGCAUUUGUAUGAUGUAUGCUCAUUGUUGCAUUCAUGUUCAUGAUGAUGGAGAAGGAAAU
RNAcentral lists this long non-coding RNA (8551 nucleotides) under Triticum aestivum (bread wheat). RNAcentral describes it as "long non-coding RNA (TAES_LNC022185)". Lineage: Eukaryota; Viridiplantae; Streptophyta; Magnoliopsida; Poales; Poaceae. The record is from RNAcentral.